GAUGAACGCUGGCGGCGUGCCUAAUACAUGCAAGUCGAGCGAACAGACGAGGAGCUUGCUCCUCUGACGUUAGCGGCGGACGGGUGAGUAACACGUGGAUAACCUACCUAUAAGACUGGGAUAACUUCGGGAAACCGGAGCUAAUACCGGAUAAUAUAUUGAACCGCAUGGUUCAAUAGUGAAAGACGGUUUUGCUGUCACUUAUAGAUGGAUCCGCGCCGCAUUAGCUAGUUGGUAAGGUAACGGCUUACCAAGGCGACGAUGCGUAGCCGACCUGCAAGGGUGAUAGGCCACACUGGAACUGAGACACGGUCCAGACUCCUACGGGAGGCAGCAGUAGGGAAUCUUACGCAAUGGGCCAAAGCAUGACGGAGCAACGCCGCGUGAGUGAUGAAGGUCUUCGGAUCGUAAAACUCUGUUAUUAGGGAAGAACAAAUGUGUAAGUAACUAUGCACGUCUUGACGGUACCUGAUCAGAAAGCCACGGCUAACUACGUG
This 497-nucleotide ribosomal RNA is filed under the name uncultured bacterium. Its description in RNAcentral is "partial 16S ribosomal RNA". It matches the Rfam family "Bacterial small subunit ribosomal RNA", at positions 28 to 507 of the family's 1533-position model. The record is from RNAcentral.